CUACAUCCACUGAUAGCUCCUCAAACAGUUUCCUAUUGUUCUUUGGUUUACACUAGGACACAAAAGGAAAAAAAUUCCAGGGGGCUGGGCAGUGGCACACGUGAUUAAGCUCACACAGUACCAUGUGGAAGGACCUGU
RNAcentral lists this small nucleolar RNA (138 nucleotides) under Erinaceus europaeus (western European hedgehog). RNAcentral's name for it is "Small nucleolar RNA SNORA31 (ENSEEUG00000022386.1)". The record is from RNAcentral. Lineage: Eukaryota; Metazoa; Chordata; Mammalia; Eulipotyphla; Erinaceidae.